ACGGCGACAGGUCGCACCGCUGGCUGAGGUCGCGCUGCUUCGCGUCGCCUGGCGAGGUCCAGAGCGCCUGUUCCUUUAGACGGGGAAGCCGAGGAGUGGGAAGGGGCCUCCGUAGCCAUCAAGUGUAUUCACUUACCUGAGUCCGGGCUGGCUUGGGUUGGAGGUUGUUUUUGUUUUUUAAAGUGGGGCAGAGCCUGACUGAGCUGGAGGUUCAGUGGGGGACAAGAAUAAAGGUGAAGAAUUAGUUUGAAGAUAGAUUGAAGAAGACUUUGAACUAGUGACAGUGGCAACCACCGUGACCCAGACUUGUGUGACCCUUAGAGGCAGAAGGAGUCUGGAAGUAACCAGCCACUGGUGGUAUUGGUUCAGGCGCUCAAUGAUACCACAUUUGCAAGAUGACUGUCCCAGCUUCAGCCAUCCCAUCCUUGUCCAAGGCAGGAAAAAUUAGAUGGAGGGGCCAUACGAUGAGGAUUGCAGGGGCACCUAACUGACAGCCAACAAGGAGAUGGGAAUCUCAGACCUACAACCACAAGGAACUGAGUCCUGUCAGCAACCUGAAAGAGCUUAGAAGCCGAUUCUCUCCCAGGGCCCCCAGAAGAGAGCACAGCCCUGCUCACACCUUGAUUUCAACCUGUGAGACCCUAAGUGGAGGACCCAGUUCAGUCACGCCAUACAUGGAUUCUGAUCUGCACAACUGUGAGAUAAUAA
Camelus dromedarius (Arabian camel) is the source of this 708-nucleotide long non-coding RNA. RefSeq lists it as uncharacterized. The record is from RefSeq and is a predicted model, not a curated record. The transcript is spliced from 3 exons. NCBI's taxonomy places the organism in Eukaryota, Metazoa, Chordata, Mammalia, Artiodactyla, Camelidae.